RNAcentral lists this ribosomal RNA (377 nucleotides) under uncultured Glomeromycotina. RNAcentral's name for it is "LSU rRNA". Lineage: Eukaryota; Fungi; Glomeromycota. The record is from RNAcentral.
UUGAAAGGGAAACGAUUGAAGUCAGUCGUACCAGCGGGAAAUCAACCUUUCGAGUGGGGGUUUUGGAGUUUUUUGAAGAGUGUCAAAACCUUUGAGAUUUCAAAAUAUUCGCUCUUUUGGUGUACUUUCUCGUGGGUAGGUUAACAUCGAUUUUGAUCAUCAUAAAGAGAUUGGAGGAAUGUAGCUUCGAUCUUGUAUUGAAGUGUUAUAGCCUUUGGUAAAUGUGAUGAUUAGGAUCGAGGAUUGCAACGAAUACCCUUUUGGGCUAUCCGCCUGAUCUCUGAUACGUGGCCUUGGUAUCGAAAGCGUGCUUAUGGUAUUGAGGUAUUACGGUCAAAAGGUUAGAACGGAUUACAUUCGUUAAGGAUGUUGACGUA